Non-coding RNA from Lupinus albus (white lupine), 582 nucleotides. NCBI's taxonomy places the organism in Eukaryota, Viridiplantae, Streptophyta, Magnoliopsida, Fabales, Fabaceae. The record is from the annotation of a GenBank genome assembly.
AUGUCGGAAGUAACAGAGUUUAAGAGUAUUGUCCCUCAGGAACCCUGAGUCAAAUGAUUUUAACCUUAUUGAACAUGUGCUUUGCCACAUUGUCAAGAAUGAAAGAACAUGUGCUUUUUGGUUUUUAUGACUGCUUUGGUGACAUAAACUCCUUCAAGGAUCAGCUUCAAUCUCAUCCUUUGUUGCUGCCAACUUUGUAAAUUAAUUCAAGUAAGUUUUGAUUGUGAUUGUGGAAAAGCAAAAGAGACAUCAUAUGAUGAACUAAAUGACACUCCUUGUUUGGUUCUAUCUUGGAUCUCAAAAGCUGCUACAGGGAAGGUAUUUGUAUUUGUGGUUCAGUGUAUUUGGUUAACUUGUUUUUUCUUUCAAAUGGAAGAUAGUUCAGUUCUCCAUUUUAAGGGGUAGAGGAAAACCAAACAGAAAUUUAGGACAUGGGUACUUUAUAAAUUCCUAAGUAGAUAUGGUAGUUGUUUAUGGAACAUGUCUAAGUUAGUCAAGAUUGCUUGUUAUUGCAAUGUUGCAGAAGUUGUGUCUAAAGCUCUUUAGUUACACUAAACACAUACUAAUAAUUUGUUGCUGAUC